CACAAGUUUGCUAAUAAGACAAGGUUCUUGUAUAUGGAAGUACAUUAACAAACACAAGUUUACUAAUAAGACAAGGUUCUUGUAUAUGGAAGUACAUUAACAAACACAAGUUUACUAAUAAGACAAGGUUCUCGUAUAUGGAAGCACAUAAACAAACAAGUUUACUAAUAAGACAAGGUUCUUGUAUAUGGAAGUACAUUAACAAACACAAGUUUACUAGUAAGACAAGGUUCUCGUAUAUGGAAGCACAUAAAUAAACACAAGUUUAAUAAUAAGACAAGGUUCUCGUAUAUGGAAGCACAUUAACAAACACAAGUUUAAUAAUAAGACAAGGUUCUUGUAUGUGGAAGCACAUAAACAAACACAAGUUUACUAAUAACAAAGUUCUUGUAUAUGGAAGCACAUAAAUAAACACAAGUUUACUAAUAAGAAAAGGUUCUUGUAUAUGGAAGCACAUAAACAAACAAGUUUACUAAUAAGACAAGGUCCUUCUAUAUGAAAGAACAU
Limulus polyphemus (Atlantic horseshoe crab) is the source of this 507-nucleotide long non-coding RNA. RefSeq lists it as uncharacterized. The record is from RefSeq and is a predicted model, not a curated record. The transcript has 2 exons. NCBI's taxonomy places the organism in Eukaryota, Metazoa, Arthropoda, Merostomata, Xiphosura, Limulidae.